AGAGUUUGAUCCUGGCUCAGAUUGAACGCUGGCGGCAUGCUUUACACAUGCAAGUCGAACGGCAGCACGGGGGCAACCCUGGUGGCGAGUGGCGAACGGGUGAGUAAUAUAUCGGAACAUAUCCGGAAGUGGGGGAUAACGUACCGAAAGGUACGCUAAUACCGCAUAUGCCCUGAGGGGGAAAGGGGGGGAUCGCAAGACCUCUCGCUUUCGGAGUGGCCGAUAUCGGAUUAGCUAGUUGGUGAGGUAAAGGCUCACCAAGGCGACGAUCCGUAGCUGGUCUGAGAGGACGACCAGCCACACUGGAACUGAGACACGGUCCAGACUCCUACGGGAGGCAGCAGUGGGGAAUUUUGGACAAUGGGCGAAAGCCUGAUCCAGCCAUGCCGCGUGAGUGAAGAAGGCCUUCGGGUU
Molecule: ribosomal RNA, 414 nt
Filed under: uncultured bacterium
Lineage: Bacteria
Description: bacterial SSU rRNA
Rfam family: Bacterial small subunit ribosomal RNA
Source: RNAcentral